RNAcentral lists this ribosomal RNA (835 nucleotides) under Entrophospora lutea. RNAcentral's name for it is "eukaryotic LSU rRNA". It matches the Rfam family "Eukaryotic large subunit ribosomal RNA", at positions 1 to 649 of the family's 3401-position model. Lineage: Eukaryota; Fungi; Glomeromycota; Glomeromycetes; Entrophosporales; Entrophosporaceae. The record is from RNAcentral.
AAGUGCUUGGUCGAGAUUGUAAGAUACAUUUAACAAAUGACCUCAAAUCAGGCAAGAAUACCCGCUGAACUUAAGCAUAUCAAUAAGCGGAGGAAAAGAAACUAACAAGGAUUCCCCUAGUAACGGCGAGUGAAGAGGGAAGAGCUCAAAUUUUAAAUCUGCCUUGUUUCANGGNCGAGUUGUAAUUUGAAGAAGCGUUUUCUUGGGCUCGCGGCCGGUAGAAGUUCUUUGGAACAGGACAUCAUAGAGGGUGACAAUCCCGUCUGCGACCGGUCGUGUGUUCCAUCUACGAUACGCUUUCAAAGAGUCGAGUUGUUUGGGAUUGCAGCUCCAAAUGGGUGGUAAACAUCACCUAAGGCUAAAUAUUGGCGAGAGACCGAUAGCGAACAAGUACCGUGAGGGAAAGAUGAAAAGAACUUUGAAAAGAGAGUUAAACAGUACGUGAAAUUGUUGAAAGGGAAACGAUUGAAGUCAGUCGUGCUGGCGCGAAAUCAACCCUCUCGUCGAGAGGACACAUGGCGUGGCGAGCCUCAAAACCGUCACGAAGCGUGAACUCUUGGCGAAAAGGAGCACUUUCGUGUCCGCUGGUUAACAUCAAUUUCGAACGUCAUAAAAAGGCUGGAGGGAUGUGGCUCCUUCGGGAGUGUUAUAACCUUUAGCGGAAUGUGGUGGUCGGGAUUGAGGAUUGCAACGAAUACCUUUAGGGCUGUUCCACCUGGCCUCUCUUUGGUAUCCUGGUGACGACAGCUUGCUGACGUUGUUAGGAUUCGCCAUUGAACAGGCUAGAGUGUGAGCAAAUUCGUUAAGGAUGUUAACGUAAUGGCUUUAAACGACC